RNAcentral lists this ribosomal RNA (749 nucleotides) under unidentified. Its description in RNAcentral is "Acarospora tominiana partial large subunit ribosomal RNA". It matches the Rfam family "Eukaryotic large subunit ribosomal RNA", at positions 151 to 918 of the family's 3401-position model. The record is from RNAcentral.
UGUAGAGGAUGCUUCGGGUACGGCUCCGGUCUAAGUUCUUUGGAACAGGACGUCACAGAGGGUGAGAAUCCCGUACGUGACCGGCCACCACGCCCAUGUGAAGCUCCUUCGACGAGUCGAGUUGUUUGGGAAUGCAGCUCAAAAUGGGUGGUAAAUUUCAUCUAAAGCUAAAUAUUGGCCAGAGACCGAUAGCGCACAAGUAGAGUGAUCGAAAGAUGAAAAGCACUUUGGAAAGAGAGUUAAACAGUACGUGAAAUUGUUGAAAGGGAAGCGCUUGCAACCAGACUUGCCUGCGGGUGAUCAGCCGGUAUUCUUACCGGUGCACUCGCCCGUGGUCAGGCCAGCAUCGGUUUGGGCGGUUGGAUAAAGUCCCCCGGAAUGUAGCUCCUCUCGGGGAGUGUUAUAGCCGGAGGUGCAAUGCAACCUGCCCGGACCGAGGACCGCGCUUCGGCUAGGAUGCUGGCGUAAUGGUUGUAAGCGACCCGUCUUGAAACACGGACCAAGGAGUCUAACAUCUAUGCGAGUGUUUGGGUGUGAAACCCAUGCGCGUAAUGAAAGUGAACGGAGGUGGGAACCCUCAAGGGUGCACCAUCGACCGAUCCUGAUGUCUUCGGAUGGAUUUGAGUAAGAGCAUAGCUGUUGGGACCCGAAAGAUGGUGAACUAUGCCUGAAUAGGGUGAAGCCAGAGGAAACUCUGGUGGAGGCUCGCAGCGGUUCUGACGUGCAAAUCGAUCGUCAAAUUUGGGUAU